RNAcentral lists this ribosomal RNA (251 nucleotides) under uncultured Parvimonas sp. Its description in RNAcentral is "partial 16S ribosomal RNA". It matches the Rfam family "Bacterial small subunit ribosomal RNA", at positions 88 to 339 of the family's 1533-position model. The record is from RNAcentral. Lineage: Bacteria; Bacillati; Bacillota; Tissierellia; Tissierellales; Peptoniphilaceae.
AAUGAAAGUGGCGAACGGGUGAGUAACACGUGAGCAACCUACCUUACACAGGGGGAUAGCCGUUGGAAACGACGAUUAAUACCGCAUGAGACCACAAAGCCACAUGGCUUAGGGGUAAAAGAUUUAUCGGUGUAAGAUGGGCUCGCGUCUGAUUAGCUAGUUGGAAGGGUAAAGGCCUACCAAGGCAACGAUCAGUAGCCGGUCUGAGAGGAUGAACGGCCACAUUGGAACUGAGACACGGUCCAAACUCC